RNAcentral lists this long non-coding RNA (1485 nucleotides) under Sus scrofa (pig). RNAcentral describes it as "lncRNA (ENSSSCG00025076025.1)". Lineage: Eukaryota; Metazoa; Chordata; Mammalia; Artiodactyla; Suidae. The record is from RNAcentral.
GCUCUCCUUUUCAGGGAACAGGGCUUGAGAAGCAAGGACUUAAAAGAUGGGUAGGACUUAAAAAGGGCACUUCAGUUGCAAAUGAAGGUCUAUCUGCCGGAACACUGGCCAUUCCACAGGACAGGUGACCACAAGAUCACUUUACAGCUUGGGAAUCGACAACCUACCAGACCACGUGGUCUCCAGCUCUCCAGAUCCAGCCACACUCACGGCCAACUGCUGCUUUAAAGUGUCCCUUCUUAUUUCUGUGGGUAUGUUACUGGGUCUUUCGGGUCACUCACCCACUAGACCACCUCCCCCUCCAGAGGGGUCCCCUGCCCCCCUAGAAAUUUGGUGGCUUGACAGUGCAGUGUGCUUUUUAGACAACUAGUUAAAACAGGAACAAGAACCCCCACAAGACACCCAUCUUCUGACUACUCAUGGAUAGAGAAGUUCAGCUUAUGCACAAAAGAAUCACACCAAUGAAGUUUUUCAACCUUUAUUAAUAUGUCAUCUAUUUUUAAAAAUAGUGAGACUGCUCCAAACAACAGAUGCAUGAGAGAUACCUGAAAAUUAAAAGGGCAAAGUAAUUACACUAGAUUCCUGUGAAAAUACAAACACAAACCAGUUUAGGACAAAUUCAAUCAAGAGGUAUAGUAUAGUUUGAAGCUACUUCCACUUCCCCUAACUUCAUCUGAAGAAAAAGGAGGAAAACGGAAAGGCAGAAGUAAAAGUCAAGCAAAGACGCCGCAGGGAUUUGAACCCUGUCCUGGAAGCCAGGAGUGCCAACCACCAGCAUCUUUUGCUUUUUUUUUUAAAGCUAGGUAAAGGCCAAAAAGCAAAACCUGAGAAAACAAAGUAUUUUGUUUUCUCAGGAAAAGAAAAACCUUUAAAUUUUAAGACCCUACUGAAGAGCACUGGAGAAUCUGCUUCAGCUAAGAUGCUAGCUUGGCCAAGUCUGUUAUGUUCACCUGAAAAAGUCUUAGCAGAGAGUUUUUGCAUUCCCACCCAACAGCCCUCAACUGCUAAAAUGCCUAUCUCCUUCAGUUUGUUUUCAGCACUGGACAGAAAUAAUGCUACACAUUUAAAACAUCUGAGAGCUUUUUAGUUAAAACGUUUCCACUUGCCAGUUAAACUUCUUGAAGUCUGUUGUUCGUUUGGAACUUAUUUCUUGUCACUGAUUUUAAAGUUGCAUCUGGAAAAGACUAAAGGCUUCAGUGCCCUCCCCACCCCCCCUACCAGAAGUGAACAAAAAGCAUUUUACCUAAAGCACAGCAAAAAGGACUGCUUCAAUCACAAACAUGAAUGCUUAAAGCUGCAGAAAUUUCCUCAACACUCAGCCUUUUAUCACUCAGUGGAUUUUCCUUCAACAAUCACUACUCCAAGCAUUGGGGGAAACAUAACUUUUAAUCAUACUCCAGUCGUUUCACAAUGCAUUCUAAUAGCAGCAGGUCAGAACAGUACUGCAUUAUUACUUGCCAACAGAACAGACAGACCUGAGGUCAA